CCUUCACACCACUCAAUCCUCAUCUCCACCUCCAUUCCCUUUCCAUUCAAACUCAUUUAUCCAUUUCUUGCCCUUAAACUCAAAAAAUGGCUAUUAGAAAACCUAACAAACUCCCACAAGCAGCAGUUUUGAAGCAAAUCCUCAAACGAUGUUCAAGUUUAGGCAAGAAAAAUGGAUAUGACGAAAAUGAACUUCCACUUGAUGUCCCUAAAGGUCAUUUUGCUGUCUAUGUUGGAGAAUAUAGAAGCAGAUAUAUUGUUCCUAUUUCAUUUUUGACUCAUCCUGAGUUUCAGUGUCUUCUUCAACGUGCAGAAGAUGAAUUUGGAUUUGAUCAUGAUAUGGGACUCACUAUCCCUUGUGAAGAAGCCGUGUUUCGAUCCCUAACGUCGAUGAUCAGAUAAUUCAGGCAAUAUUUUUCAUAGUCGAUCUCAAGCCCCAGAUAUAUAACCCGGGUUGUGAUAGGUUGACGAUCAAUCAGCGCCAAAACUUUGUCAAAUCGUAUGACAUGAUUCGGAAUGCACAUUUGUUGUUGUUUGGAGAAAGAUGAUCCAGAUGAAGCUGAAGAAUUGUUGGCUGCUUCUCUUUUUUUAACUUCUUUCUUCAUGGAAGUUUGAUCUAUAUUUUUUUUUAUUUUUUGGAAAAUUCUCAUUAUUUUCUAACCAUUUGGGUGUUUGUAUUUUUAUAGUGACUUAAAGUCCCCAAACCCAAGAAAACCCAUGAAUAUUUUCUGGGCUAAAUUUGUAAAAAAAAAAAAAUUGAAGUCUUUUUCUCACAGUUGUUUUCCUACAUCCUGAGAGAAAUUUGUUGUUUAAGGAAAGACUCUUAAUUAUGUCCAAUUAUUGUAUUAUUGAAUGUUGAAUGAUACUCUCCUAUUCUUCCAUGUUUUAUAAAGUUGAAUCUGAUAAAUAUGAAAAAAAUAAAUAAAUAACUUUUGUUCACAUA
This 942-nucleotide long non-coding RNA is filed under the name Olea europaea subsp. europaea. Lineage: Eukaryota; Viridiplantae; Streptophyta; Magnoliopsida; Lamiales; Oleaceae. The record is from RNAcentral.